CGACGCUGCUUCCUUCCCCGGCGCCGGUGUCGGUGAGGCGGCGAGGAGGAGGCCGGCCGGCGCGGUCAGGUCUCGCGCGACGGGGCAUUUUCCCUCUACCUGCGGUCUCCGCCUCCUUCAGGAGUUCAGGUGAACGGUGGCAGGCAAGCCACGAUCAAAUAACCAUCCUGAAUGCAAGUGAGGCCAUUCCUUUCUCCAGCUCUUCUCCAAGCCAUGGGUAAUGUAAGAACCCUUUUCUUCUUGGUGCUACCCAAUGGUUUCGGUCUCCAAGGUAAAAGGUGGCACUAG
This 288-nucleotide long non-coding RNA is filed under the name Oryza sativa tropical japonica subgroup. RNAcentral's name for it is "lncRNA OsCMeo_01g0005410". Lineage: Eukaryota; Viridiplantae; Streptophyta; Magnoliopsida; Poales; Poaceae. The record is from RNAcentral.